Molecule: ribosomal RNA, 253 nt
Filed under: uncultured bacterium
Lineage: Bacteria
Description: partial 16S ribosomal RNA
Rfam family: Bacterial small subunit ribosomal RNA
Source: RNAcentral
UACGGGGGGGGCAAGCGUUGUUCGGAAUUACUGGGCGUAAAGGGCUCGUAGGCGGCCAACUAAGUCAUACGUGAAAUCCCUCGGCUUAACCGGGGAACUGCGUCUGAUACUGGAUGGCUUGAGUUCGGGAGAGGGAUGCGGAAUUCCAGGUGUAGCGGUGAAAUGCGCAGAUAUCAGGAGGAACACCGGUGGCGAAGGCGGAUCUCUGGGCCGAUACUGACGCUGAGGAGCGAAAGCGUGGGGAGCGAACAGG